This is a long non-coding RNA of Erinaceus europaeus (western European hedgehog), 679 nucleotides long. RefSeq lists it as uncharacterized. The record is from RefSeq and is a predicted model, not a curated record. The transcript is spliced from 2 exons. Lineage: Eukaryota; Metazoa; Chordata; Mammalia; Eulipotyphla; Erinaceidae.
ACAGAUCAGCUGCUAUGGACACCAUACUGUUCUGGCCAAGCCAGGGUUCCUGUGACAUCAUGCCCUACUCUCCCACUGUCAGCAAAAUUCCCUGAGGGCAACAGCUGCUGCUGCCUACAAACAGUAGCUGUUCUCACUCUGCCCAGGGAGGCGUGCCAACUCCUCCUUCCCAUGAAGUCUCCUUUCUACUCAACCCAAUUUGCUGAGUCCAGUGAAGGGGAGGACGCCAGGAAGACGCUGGAAAAAUGCAUUACCUAAUGGAGAACUGCAGCAAGAGGCCUGUGACCCUCCAAUGAGCAUCCUGAAUUGAGGACUGCCAUCUCCCACAGCCCACUGAGAUCACCUUGUGCUGGACCCCAGCCCAACACCCCAGGACAUGUAGCAGAUGAAGAAGGUUGUUUCCAGUGAAGGCUAUGUAAUGAAUAGAUUUUAACUGCAUCUCAUUAGCAGUCUUUGGAACAUCUAGCAAACUACAUCACUGUGAUCUGAAAGUUCAGGGUUACAGAGAAAAUGAGAACUGUGAAAGGAAAGAACUGCUUUCCAUUUAGUUCUGUUUCCAUGCUGUACAUCUAGGCCAUGGGGGGGGGGGGUUUUACCAUCUAUCUUUUUCUGUGGUGAUCAGAAUUGUUCACUUUCAUUAAAGUAUUGGUAGAGUAGGAAAGAAAUUUCCUAUCCCUAA